This 74-nucleotide transfer RNA is filed under the name Providencia rettgeri. RNAcentral describes it as "tRNA-Lys". It matches the Rfam family "tRNA". From Rfam's summary of the family: Transfer RNA (tRNA) molecules are approximately 80 nucleotides in length. Their secondary structure includes four short double-helical elements and three loops (D, anti-codon, and T loops). The record is from RNAcentral. Lineage: Bacteria; Pseudomonadati; Pseudomonadota; Gammaproteobacteria; Enterobacterales; Morganellaceae.
GUCGUUAGCUCAGUCGGUAGAGCAGUUGACUUUUAAUCAAUUGGUCGCAGGUUCCAAUCCUGCACGACCCACCA